CCAGGGAGCUCCACAAUGUGGAACUUGUAAAGGUCAUUCAUCAAAUAAAGAGUUUUGUCCCGUUGACCUUGGCCUAGUCCAUGGAGCACUUGCUAAGUACUUACUACGUACCAGUCAGUGUGCUGAGCACUGGAAACACAAGGUUAAAAGGCAUGACAUUUCCUAUAAGGAAAACAGGCAACUCCCUAGACAUUACCUGCACUAAGCUGAGAGCCACGUGAGCCCAGAGGUGAGGCACAUCCAGGGAAUUCACGGAGGGUUUCUGAAGGAGGUCAAAUCUCACCUGAGUCUUGGAGUACAAGGUAGGCAGGUAGAAAAAGGGGGUCGGUAUUCUGGGGAGUCGAAGCAGUGUGAGAAAAGGCACACAGUGUGAGGUGACAUGAAAGGGACACUCCUUCUCUGUUCUGUGGUUUGUCCCCACAUGGAGGGAGGGCAUGGAUUUGGGGGAGGAUAAUGGAAAUAAGAUUAAAGGUGGGGAGGCCAAUAUGGAAGUGACUGCAGGAGUUCCCAUCGUGGCACAGUGGAAACAAAUCCGACUAGGAACCAUGAGGUUGUGAGUUUGAUCCUUAGCCUCACUCAGUGGGUUAAGGAUCUGGUGUUGCCGUGAGCUGUGGUGUAGGUAGCAGACACAGUUCAGAUCAGGUGUUGCUGUUGCUGUGGUGUAGGCCAGCAGCUAUAGCUNAGGUUUGUGGUGGGAUGAAUUAGCAGGAAUAACCUGGGAUGAGUCCCAGUUUCCUGACUUCAGUCACCAAGUGGACUGUAAUGUCAGUUACUGAGAAAAACACAGCAAAACGACCCAACUUGGGGGAAGUCGGGCAAUGGUGCAUUUAGUUUGGGCCACGUGGAUUUUCAUGUCUGAGAUCUCCAGCUGAGAGGGGUAGGAGUCUCGAGUCCAGCAGUGCUGUCAGUACAGGAGAUUUGCAUUUAGAGGCCAUCAGCAUGGGGAGGGGAACAUUAAAAUCAUGACUGUGUUGGGGAGUAUAGGAAAAUGAAAGAGUGAGGCAGAAAGCAACCCAUUGAGGAAUGCAAACAUUUAGGAUGUUGGCAGAAGAGAGUAAUGGGGGAAAUAUGACAAAAAGUAACCAUCAAAAAUGUAGAAGAAGACUCAUGAGCGAUGUCAAAGAAGUAGGAAUUUCAGGAGGAUUUGAAGGAGAAAUAGUGUCCAACAGUAGAAAGGGCCAUAGACUUAGACAGGGAGUGUCCAUUGGCUUUGGCAAUUUGGAGGUGAUGUUUUUGAAAGAAGUUAGAGUUGUGUAGUCUGUUCAUAAGCCAGGUGGCAGUGGGUUGAGGAGUGAGGAAGUGAAGACCCCAAUUAUCAAGCUAUUUUCAUGAUCCUUUGCUGAGAGGUCAAGGGGAGGUCAAGAGAGACUUGCUCCUCCAAAGGUGAAUCUUGAUGUAUUUAUAGGCUAAGGGCAAUGGGCUAAUAGAAAGCAAGAGGGUGAAUUUAUUGAAGAAAGGGGAGUAUGGAUGGAACAACAUCCCCAAGGAUAAAGGAGAUCAUGAAUAAAAGGCUGAGAUGGGGGUAGGUAGGAGGGAGAGGGGGGAGAGAGAGAGAGGGAGUGUGUGUGUGUGUGUGUGUGUAGGAGGGAGAAGGAGAGAAGGAGUGGGGGGGGAUGGGCUUAUCUUGAACAGAAGAGAUGCCUUUUACCUUGAGACCCUGGAAAAAAAAAGUGAAGGGUGUUUAUAAAUGAGAAGCCUUGUUUAAGUAUUGAUGUUUUUGAUGGAGGCUGGAGGGGAGGGAGGAAGCAGAAGUUCAUGCCGGAAACCUCGUUUUCUUGAUAAAAUAGGAGGCAAGGUUAGGUGCUGAGAAAAUCUUGGGGCUUGAGAAUGGAAUAAAGUUUUGGCAUGAGUGCCAGGCAGCGUGGGAGAAGAGAGGCUAACUACGGAAGUGGCGACCUACCCUGGAGUUGGCCUGGUUAGAGGGGAGAGAGAGUGACCAGAAGAUCCUGCAGACUGGGUGAAAACUGAAAGAACAAGGACCAUGGUCCAUGGGAUGUUAGAGGUGGCGAUGAGGGCAUGAGAGACAAGCGGUCAUCAGCAGAGAGUGGCAUUUUUCAGUUACUUGGUUCUAAAACAAUAACUAAUAUUUGAACAGCUCUCUACCUUUUGGGAAAAGUUUUUGCAGACCUGUUUCAUUUGUUUUCAUAGCAGCAUUUUGAGACAUGUGUUAUUAUUUUUCUACUCUCCAGAGAUGAAGCGAGACGCACAGAAAUAGUGACUUACUCAAGGUCAGACAAGUAGAAAAGGCUGGACUUCAAACUAGAUAUUUGGUCUCCAGGCUUCACACAGAUAGGCUUUGAUAUUAAAAGACAUUGAGGAUCCAAGUCAGGAAUAAAAUACAUGACUUGAGUUGAUUUUUCUAGGAGGAAGAAUGGAUCUUUUCUUCUCUACGUGUGACCCCAAGCACAGGGCAGCCAGAGGGCUCACUGACAUGAUGUCUUAAUCGAGGUAAGCCUUGGCUUUCCUGGGCUAAUGAACCCACACAGCUGCAGAGGUGCACGCAUGCCCUGAGCUAGUUUAAGCUACACACCCAUUCUGCUGUACCUGCUGCUCCUCUGCCUAAAAUAUCCUCCCUGUGGUUGUCUCCUGGAUAAGUCCUACGUAGUUCAAAGCCCCCCUCUAAUACCUGUCUUCUUGCGGGCUGAUCCAAUUGCCCUAUUUUGUACUCUUAAGGGUAUCCUGGCUCUUCCGUUAUCCAUCUCUUUGAAAUUAUUGCCUGUGCACCUCCCUAGACAAAGAGCACCUUGAAGCCAAGAACUGGGUCUUAGGUCUCUUUGAAUCUCCAUACAAAAUGCCCCACACAACACUUGAUGCAAAUAGAAGUCAGUCACCUGCAAAUAUGGAAAAUACAACCCCUUGUCCCAACUCUCAGUGGAAACCAGCUAAGCGCAUGAGUGAGUCCCAUUGCACAGUCAGUCUGAAUGGAGCCUCCAGGGUUUUUUUUUUGCUGAGAUGACAAACGGUGGCAGAUGUAUUAAGGGACAGAUCAUUAGCAAGAGCUUCCCUCCUUUCCUGAGGCUUGUCUUCCUUUUUACCCCUGAAGGCCUAGCAUUUUAACAUAUCCAGACAUUAACUGCUUUCCUCCACCUCUGCUACCACUACAGCUGGUCUACGCCAACAUCAUCUCUUGCUUGGAUUAUUGCAACAGCAUCCUAGGUGGUCUCCCUGCUUUACCUUUCCCAGGGUGCAGUCCCAUCUCCCUGGAUCUGAAAGCUAAAAUCUUUUCAGGUAUGUUCAGUGCCCUGCAGGAUCUGGCCCCUGUGAGCUCUGUGACUCCACCUCCUACCCAGCUACUUG
Molecule: long non-coding RNA, 3297 nt
Filed under: Sus scrofa (pig)
Lineage: Eukaryota; Metazoa; Chordata; Mammalia; Artiodactyla; Suidae
Description: lncRNA (ENSSSCG00050022902.1)
Source: RNAcentral